RNAcentral lists this ribosomal RNA (402 nucleotides) under uncultured bacterium. RNAcentral describes it as "bacterial SSU rRNA". It matches the Rfam family "Bacterial small subunit ribosomal RNA", at positions 355 to 774 of the family's 1533-position model. The record is from RNAcentral.
UCGGGAAUUUUGGGCAAUGGGCGAAAGCCUGACCCAGCAACGCCGCGUGAGGGAUGAAGUAUUUCGGUAUGUAAACCUCGAAAGAAUGGGAAGAAUAAAUGACGGUACCAUUUAUAAGCUCCGGCUAACUACGUGCCAGCAGCCGCGGUAAUACGUAGGGAGCAAGCGUUGUUCGGAUUUACUGGGCGUAAAGGGCGCGUAGGCGGCGCGGUAAGUCACUUGUGAAAUCUCUGAGCUUAACUCAGAACGGCCAAGUGAUACUGCUGUGCGAGAGUGCGGAAGAGGCAACCGGAAUUCUUGGUGUAGCGGUGAAAGGCGUAGAUAUCAAGAGGAACACCUGAGGCGAAGGCGGGUUGCUGGGCCGACACUGACGCUGAUGCGCGAAAGCCAGGGGAGCAAACG